UACGUAGGGGGCAAGCGUUGUCCGGAAUUAUUGGGCGUAAAGAGCGUGUAGGCGGUUCGGUAAGUCGGCUGUGAAAGUCCAGGGCUCAACCCUGGGAUGCCGGUCGAUACUGCCGGACUAGAGUUCGGAAGAGGCGAGUGGAAUUCCCGGUGUAACGGUGAAAUGCGCAGAUAUCGGGAGGAACACCUAUGGCGAAGGCAGCUCGCUGGGACGUUACUGACGCUGAGACGCGAAAGCGUGGGGAGCAAACAGG
RNAcentral lists this ribosomal RNA (253 nucleotides) under uncultured bacterium. RNAcentral describes it as "partial 16S ribosomal RNA". It matches the Rfam family "Bacterial small subunit ribosomal RNA", at positions 524 to 776 of the family's 1533-position model. The record is from RNAcentral.